Molecule: ribosomal RNA, 253 nt
Filed under: uncultured bacterium
Lineage: Bacteria
Description: partial 16S ribosomal RNA
Rfam family: Bacterial small subunit ribosomal RNA
Source: RNAcentral
UACAUGGGGUGCAAACGUUGCUCGGAAUUAUUGGGCGUAAAGCGCACGUAGGCGGUUUGUUAAGUCGGAUGUGAAAUCCCUCGGCUCAACUGAGGAAGUGCAUCCGAAACUGGCAGGCUUGAGUACUAAAGAGGGUCGCGGAAUUCCCGGUGUAGAGGUGAAAUGCGUAGAUACCAGGAGGAACACCGGUGGCGAAGGCGGCUUCCUGGCCCAGUACUGACGCUGAGGCACGAAAGCGUGGGGAGCGAACGGG